RNAcentral lists this ribosomal RNA (933 nucleotides) under uncultured bacterium. Its description in RNAcentral is "bacterial SSU rRNA". It matches the Rfam family "Bacterial small subunit ribosomal RNA", at positions 11 to 940 of the family's 1533-position model. The record is from RNAcentral.
GUUUGAUCCUGGCUCAGAUUGAACGCUGGCGGCAUGCCUUACACAUGCAAGUCGAACGGCAGCACGGAGCUUGCUCUGGUGGCGAGUGGCGAACGGGUGAGUAAUAUAUCGGAACGUACCCUGGAGUGGGGGAUAACGUAGCGAAAGUUACGCUAAUACCGCAUACGAUCUACGGAUGAAAGUGGGGGAUCGCAAGACCUCAUGCUCGUGGAGCGGCCGAUAUCUGAUUAGCUAGUUGGUAGGGUAAAAGCCUACCAAGGCAUCGAUCAGUAGCUGGUCUGAGAGGACGACCAGCCACACUGGAACUGAGACACGGUCCAGACUCCUACGGGAGGCAGCAGUGGGGAAUUUUGGACAAUGGGCGAAAGCCUGAUCCAGCAAUGCCGCGUGAGUGAAGAAGGCCUUCGGGUUGUAAAGCUCUUUUGUCAGGGAAGAAACGGUGAGAGCUAAUAUCUCUUGCUAAUGACGGUACCUGAAGAAUAAGCACCGGCUAACUACGUGCCAGCAGCCGCGGUAAUACGUAGGGUGCAAGCGUUAAUCGGAAUUACUGGGCGUAAAGCGUGCGCAGGCGGUUUUGUAAGUCUGAUGUGAAAUCCCCGGGCUCAACCUGGGAAUUGCAUUGGAGACUGCAAGGCUAGAAUCUGGCAGAGGGGGGUAGAAUUCCACGUGUAGCAGUGAAAUGCGUAGAUAUGUGGAGGAACACCGAUGGCGAAGGCAGCCCCCUGGGUCAAGAUUGACGCUCAUGCACGAAAGCGUGGGGAGCAAACAGGAUUAGAUACCCUGGUAGUCCACGCCCUAAACGAUGUCUACUAGUUGUCGGGUCUUAAUUGACUUGGUAACGCAGCUAACGCGUGAAGUAGACCGCCUGGGGAGUACGGUCGCAAGAUUAAAACUCAAAGGAAUUGACGGGGACCCGCACAAGCGGUGGAUGAU